GAAUUUCUAUUUUAUCAAGAGUGAUGGGCUCCUGAUUUUAUUGUUUUGCUUAUGCAUUUGAUAAUGACCAGCAUGAACUAGAACAGAGGUGAAGAUGAGCUGUAAACGUCUUUUGUUGAAGUUUCUUCUUGUUUUGCGGAGUAAGCAAAUAGAAUUGUAGCCGUAGUAAAAUUCAUAAAAAUUUGGUUUUUUUUUUUGGUGUUUUAUCGUCAAAGUACGGUGUGGGAGCGAUUUUCAGCUUCGAGUUUUAACGCUAAUACAGUACUGUACAUGUAAUGUAAUUUUGCUGGUUAUGCUCUCGUGUCCCUCCCCUCCCCUCCCCACUCCCUCACGCUCUAGCUAUUUCCCAGUGAUCUUUGCGAGUGUAGUUCGUUCCGCCAUGUUGGCACGUGUGCAAGAAAAAUAAUGGAAAGUCGAGUUUAUUGUAAUUUCAAAGGUUUUUUCUUUGUUUUUAAACGGCGUGAACCAGUGAUAUUACUUGAUCUGGGUCAUAAGCUAACUUUCUUCACUUUUUUGCUUGUCGGAACCAGGAGGUGGAAUGUGGAGACGUACUUGUUGUUGACAACCUCUGAGGCUAAGAUGAGAUUUUAACAGAAAACCGAGUGGUCCAUGGCCUCUGCAAUCAGCAUGUAGCGGUUAUCCAGAUCAGAUGCCAUCAGUGACAAAGUGGACCAAAGCAUGAAGCAGUUAUCUUUAGAAGGGUUGCAUAAUUUGUUUUGCAAUCCAGCUUUUGGGUGAACCAGGUCAACAAAGCUCUUGAAUAAGCCAAGUUGAACAUUGAGAAAUUGAAUUCAGUCAUGCAAUCUAUUCUGCCAUGGUUGAUUUGUACAAUGAAUAGACUGAAGAGCUCUCAAAUAACACUUUUUUAACAAUACUGUUUUGAAUUAAUUUUAAAUCAGAUAAUUGUUAAAAUAUUCUGUAGCCAUCUUCAAAAGUCCUACUCGGCCAACAGACUAGUUAACUGACUGAUCAUUUGCCUGAUUGAUUGACUGACUGAUUGACAGACUGAUGGACAGAGGAAUGGACGGACGUACUGACUGACUGACAGACUGACAGAUGGAUGGAAGAAUGGAAGUAAGCACUGACUAACCAACUGACUGACUGAAUGAUUAAUUGACUUAGACAUGGACUGACUGGUCAAUUGCCUGAUUGAUUGACUGACUGAUGGAUUGUCUAAUUUACUGACUGGCUGAUUAGCUAACUGACUGCCAGACAGGCUGACUGACUGGACUG
Orbicella faveolata is the source of this 1233-nucleotide long non-coding RNA. NCBI's taxonomy places the organism in Eukaryota, Metazoa, Cnidaria, Anthozoa, Scleractinia, Merulinidae. The record is from RefSeq and is a predicted model, not a curated record.